RNAcentral lists this ribosomal RNA (486 nucleotides) under uncultured bacterium. Its description in RNAcentral is "bacterial SSU rRNA". It matches the Rfam family "Bacterial small subunit ribosomal RNA", at positions 8 to 518 of the family's 1533-position model. The record is from RNAcentral.
AGAGUUGAUCCUGGCUCAGAACGAACGCUGGCGGCAUGGAUUAGGCAUGCAAGUUGAACGAACUCCUUCGGGAGUGAGUAGCGGAAGGGUGAGGAACGCGUGAGUAAUCUGCCCCCCAGUUGGGAAUAACAGUUGGAAACGACUGCUAAUACCGAAUGUGGCUUAAGCUUCGCCUGGAGCUUUGGCUAAAGAUUUAUCGCUGGGGGAUGAGCUCGCGUCCCAUUAGGUAGUUGGUGAGGUAACGGCUCACCAAGCCGACGAUGGGUAGCUGGUCUGAGAGGAUGGUCAGCCACACUGGGACUGAGACACUGCCCAGACUCCUACGGGAGGCUGCAGUCGAGAAUCUUGGGCAAUGCGCGAAAGCGUGAACCCCCAGCAAUGCCGCGUGUAUGAUGAAGGCCCUCGGGUCGUAAAGUACUGUCUCCCGUGACGAAAUUUGACGGUAGCGGGGAAGGAAGCCACGGCUAACUACGUGCCAGCAGCCGC